UACGGAGGGGGCUAGCGUUGUUCGGAAUCACUGGGCUUAAAGGGCGCGUAGGCGGGAGACCGAGUCCGGGGUGAAAUCUUUCGGCCCAACCGGAAAAGUGCCUCUGAUACUGGAUGCCUCGAGUUAGGUAGGGGCGUGUGGAACUUCCGGUGGAGCGGUGAAAUGCGUAGAUAUCGGAAGGAACGCCGGUGGCGAAAGCGACGCGCUGGACCUCAACUGACGCUGAGGCGCGAAAGCCAGGGGAGCAAACGGG
Molecule: ribosomal RNA, 253 nt
Filed under: uncultured prokaryote
Description: partial 16S ribosomal RNA
Rfam family: Bacterial small subunit ribosomal RNA
Source: RNAcentral